GAUGAACGCUGGCGGCGUGCUUAACACAUGCAAGUCGAACGGGAAACCUUUUAAUGCAGCUUCGGCAGAUUUAGCUGGUUUCUAGUGGCGGACGGGUGAGUAACGCGUGGGUAACCUGCCUUAUACAGGGGGAUAACAGUCAGAAAUGACUGCUGAUACCGCAUAAGCGCACAGGACCGCAUGGUCCGGUGUGAAAAACUCCGGUGGUAUAAGAUGGACCCGCGUUGGAUUAGCUUGUUGGUGGGGUAACGGCUCACCAAGGCGACGAUCCAUAGCCGGCCUGAGAGGGUGAACGGCCACAGUGGGACUGAGACACGGCCCAGACUCCUACGGGAGGCAGCAGUGGGGAAUAUUGCACAAUGGGGGAAACCCUGAUGCAGCGACGCCGCGUGAAGGAAGAAGUAUCUCGGUAUGUAAACUUCUAUCAGCAGGGAAGAUAGUGACGGUACCUGACGAAGAAGCCCCGGCUAACUACGUG
Molecule: ribosomal RNA, 478 nt
Filed under: uncultured bacterium
Lineage: Bacteria
Description: partial 16S ribosomal RNA
Rfam family: Bacterial small subunit ribosomal RNA
Source: RNAcentral